This 67-nucleotide transfer RNA is filed under the name Sepia officinalis (common cuttlefish). RNAcentral's name for it is "tRNA-Pro". The record is from RNAcentral. Lineage: Eukaryota; Metazoa; Mollusca; Cephalopoda; Sepiida; Sepiidae.
CAAAAAAUAGUUUAAAAUUAAAAUAUUAACAUUGGAAGUUGGUGAUUAAGGAAUACUUAUUUUUUGA